GACGAACGCUGGCGGCGUGCUUAACACAUGCCAGUCGUACGGUAAGGCCCUUUCGGGGGUACACGAGUGGCGCACGGGUGAGUAACACGUGAGUAACCUGCCCACAACUUUGGGAUAACGCUAGGAAACUGGUGCUAAUACUGGAUAUGUGCUCCUGCUGCAUGGUGGGGGUUGGAAAGCUCCGGCGGUUGUGGAUGGACUCGCGGCCUAUCAGCUUGUUGGUGGGGUAGUGGCCUACCAAGGCGGCGACGGGUAGCCGGCCUGAGAGGGUGACCGGCCACAUUGGGACUGAGAUACGGCCCAGACUCCUACGGGAGGCAGCAGUGGGGAAUAUUGCACAAUGGGCGCAAGCCUGAUGCAGCAACGCCGCGUGCGGGAUGACGGCCUUCGGGUUGUAAACCGCUUUCAGCAGGGACGAAGCUUUUUGUGACGGUACCUGCAGAAGAAGCACCGGCUAACUACGUG
Molecule: ribosomal RNA, 465 nt
Filed under: uncultured bacterium
Lineage: Bacteria
Description: partial 16S ribosomal RNA
Rfam family: Bacterial small subunit ribosomal RNA
Source: RNAcentral